This 110-nucleotide ribosomal RNA is filed under the name Vulpes vulpes (red fox). Lineage: Eukaryota; Metazoa; Chordata; Mammalia; Carnivora; Canidae. The record is from RNAcentral.
AUCUAUAACCAUGCCACACUGAAUGUGCCCAAUCUUGUCUGCCUUCAGAAGCUAAGUAGGGUUGGGCCUGGCUAGUACUGGAUAGGAGGAAUUGUCCUUGGCAUUAGCUU